AUGGCCUUGGAUUGGAACAUUCCUAGGGUGGGAGAUGUUGUUAACCCUGGACCGGAAUGGCUCUUCACCCUGCUGGAACCACUGGAUGAGGCGACGAGAAUGAUCGUGCUAAUGACUAUGUGGAGGAUUUGGCACGUCCACAAUGAAAUCACACAUGACAAGAAGCCGCCUCCUACAGAAGCCUCACGUCGAUUCUUGCAGGGGUACAUUAAUUUGUUGCUUUGUCUCCAACAGCACCCCAAUGGAGAUAUGAUCAAAGGAAAAAUGGCGGUGUCUAUACCGCAGUCUGGGCCCCAAGUUCACCAUGCGCCUAAGGAAGAGAGCAGAUGGGUCGCGCCAGCGCUGGGGCGUAUGAGGCUCAACACCGAUGGAAGCUUCGUAGCGGGCUCGGGUUCAGCGGGAGGUGGUAUGAUCCUGCGGGACGACCGGGGAAGUAUUAUUUAUAGUGCAUGCAGACAACUUUAUACAUGUGAUAACGUUCUGGAAGCUGAACUCUCGGCGUGUAAGGAAGGGCUGGAGCUAGCCCUGCACAGGACAGAGUUGCCAAUCACGGUCGAUCUGGAUUGCGUGGAGGCCGUGGCGAUGAUCACAACACAUUCAGAGGAUCGUUCAGUGCAUCGUGGCCUCGUUGAGGAGAUUAGGAGAAUGGCGUUUACCGCUGGACGAGAGAUCUUAUUUGCUCUAUACUGUCGCUCGCAAAAUAAAGCUAGUCAUGAACUUGCCUCGUAUGGGCGUAGGACACCCCAAACCGCUGUUUGGUUCCACUCGGGGAUAGACUCAGUUGUAAGUUUGGCUUUGGCUGACAAGCCACCUUGA
Molecule: ribosomal RNA, 816 nt
Filed under: Triticum aestivum (bread wheat)
Lineage: Eukaryota; Viridiplantae; Streptophyta; Magnoliopsida; Poales; Poaceae
Description: partial small subunit ribosomal RNA
Source: RNAcentral